GAAGACAGGUGUUUGCAAACCACGAUGAGAGCUGUCACCAGAACCCAACCAUGCUGGCAUCUGAUCUCAGACUUCCAAUCUCCAGAACUAGACACCACAAACAUUUGUGCAGAUUGCAUACUGGACAAGAAAACCCAGUUGAGGGGAUACGGUGGCAGAAAUCCAGUCUUGUACAAGUAACCAAGCCAUGUUUCAUGGUGUAGGAAGGCAUUCAGCCGGAGAAAGGAUGAGAGUCUACAUGGAGAAGAAGCCAAGCAGCUCUGCUGACAGCCAGCACCAAAGCCCUGGACACAUUAGGAAGACUAAUUUGGGCCUUCUCACCCAGUUCAUCAUAGCUGCAUGAAUAAGCUCAGAACUCAGGAUCCUGAUCAAACGGACCUCUAAGGAAGGCUGGGAAGCAGACUACAGCUAUACUCUCAGGAAAAAAAAAAUCAGUUUGGUCAAUUGCUAGCCAUCUUUACCAGG
RNAcentral lists this long non-coding RNA (465 nucleotides) under Equus caballus (horse). RNAcentral describes it as "lncRNA (ENSECAG00000052966.1)". Lineage: Eukaryota; Metazoa; Chordata; Mammalia; Perissodactyla; Equidae. The record is from RNAcentral.